AAAAAUUUUUUUAGUAAUGGAUUCAUUACUGUAUAUGUGUGUGUGUAUAUAUAUAUGUGUGUGUGUGUGUGUGUAUAUAUAUACACACACAUAUAUAUAUAUAUAUAU
Molecule: microRNA precursor, 108 nt
Filed under: Otolemur garnettii (small-eared galago)
Lineage: Eukaryota; Metazoa; Chordata; Mammalia; Primates; Galagidae
Description: miRNA (ENSOGAG00000032010.1)
Source: RNAcentral